UGGCGGCGUGCCUAAUACAUGCAAGUCGAGCGAGCCGAACUAAUUGAUUACCUUCGGGUAUGAAGUUAGGGAAGCGAGCGGCGGAUGGGUGAGUAACACGUGGGUAACCUACCCUAUAGUCUGGGAUACCACUUGGAAACAGGUGCUAAUACCGGAUAAAAGGAGAGAUCACAUGAUUUCUUUUUGAAAGGCGGCGUAAGCUGUCGCUAAAGGAUGGACCCGCGGUGCAUUAGCUAGUUGGUAAGGUAACGGCUUACCAAGGCAACGAUGCAUAGCCGAGUUGAGAGACUGAUCGGCCACAUUGGGACUGAGACACGGCCCAAACUCCUACGGGAGGCAGCAGUAGGGAAUCUUCCACAAUGGACGCAAGUCUGAUGGAGCAACGCCGCGUGAGUGAAGAAGGUUUUCGGAUCGUAAAGCUCUGUUGUUGGUGAAGAAAGAUAGUGAGAGUAACUGCUCAUUAUUUGCCGGUAAUCAACCAGAAAGUCACGGCUAACUACGUGCCAGCAGCCGCGGUAAUACGUAGGUGGCAAGCGUUGUCCGGAUUUAUUGGGCGUAAAGCGAGCGCAGGCGGAAAGAUAAGUCAGAUGUGAAAGCCCUCGGCUUAACCGAGGAAUAGCAUCGGAAACUGUCUUUCUUGAGUGCAGAAGAGGANAGUGGAACUCCUGUGUAGCGGUGGAAUGCGUAAAUAUAUGGAANANCACNGUGGCGAANGCGNCUCUCUGGUCUGUACUGACNCUGAGNCUCNAAACAUGGGUAGCGACANGAUAAAUACCCUGGUNUCCNUGCUGUAACAAUANNGCUAAUGUUGGGAGNUUCCCCCNCCAUGCUGCACUANCCAUUAACCCNCCCNNGGGAAACCACCCNGGUUAACCAAGAAUNACGGGGCCCCCNACNGGGNACAUUGNUUUUUNAAAACCNAAACUNCCGGNUGAUNUUGCCCCAAANA
This 949-nucleotide ribosomal RNA is filed under the name Lactobacillus acetotolerans. RNAcentral describes it as "partial 16S ribosomal RNA". The stretch from base 1 to 851 matches the Rfam family "Bacterial small subunit ribosomal RNA", at positions 37 to 873 of the family's 1533-position model. The record is from RNAcentral. Lineage: Bacteria; Bacillati; Bacillota; Bacilli; Lactobacillales; Lactobacillaceae.